This 276-nucleotide unclassified non-coding RNA is filed under the name Hevea brasiliensis (rubber tree). Lineage: Eukaryota; Viridiplantae; Streptophyta; Magnoliopsida; Malpighiales; Euphorbiaceae. The record is from RNAcentral.
GGAAGGCGUGCAAAUCAGGUGUAUGCAAUUGACUUCGGUCUAGCCAAGAAGUAUCGAGAUACUUCAUCUCACCAACACAUUCCUUACCGUGAGAACAAAAACUUGACGGGCACUGCAAGAUAUGCAAGCAUGAACACUCACCUCGGUAUCGAGCAAAGCAGGAGGGAUGAUUUGGAGUCUCUUGGAUUUGUUCUUAUGUACUUCCUCCGAGGAAGUCUUCCUUGGCAAGGGCUGAAAGCAGGAAAUAAGAAGCAGAAGUAUGAGAAAAUUAGUGAA